RNAcentral lists this ribosomal RNA (250 nucleotides) under uncultured bacterium. Its description in RNAcentral is "partial 16S ribosomal RNA". It matches the Rfam family "Bacterial small subunit ribosomal RNA", at positions 29 to 306 of the family's 1533-position model. The record is from RNAcentral.
AAUGAACGCUGGCGGCAGGCCUAAAACAUGCAAGUCGAGCGCCCUAGCAAUAGGGAGCGGCGCACGGGUGAGUAACACGUGGGAAUAUGCCUUUUGGUACGGAACAACUUUUGGAAACGAAAGCUAAUACCGUAUGGUCCCUUCGGGGUAAAGAUUUAUCGCCAAAAGAUUAGCCCGCGUUGGAUUAGCUAGUUGGUAGGGUAAUGGCCUACCAAGGCGACGAUCCAUAGCUGGUCUGAGAGGACGAUCA